CUGGAAACAAAGAUCAUUUUCUUUUCCUCCCUUCCCCCCCUCCCACCACCUUUCCCUCUCCCAUAGCCGACACACGAUUCCACUGGUUAUCACAUGUGUUCUUGACUCAAACCCAUUUCCCUGUUGUUGGUAUUUGCAUUAGAGUGUUCAGUUAGAGUCUCUCCACAGUCAUAUUCCCUCAACCCCUGUAGUCAAGCAGUUGCUUUUCAUCCGUGUUUUUACUCCCACAGUUUAUCCUCUGCUUGUGGAUAGUAUUUUUUAGAUCCCUGCAGAUUGUUCAGGGACAUUGCAUUGACACUAAUGGAGAAGUCCAUCACCUUCGAUUGUACCACAGUGUAUCAGUCUCUGUGUACAAUGUUUUCCUGGUUCUGCUCCUUUCGCUCUGCAUCACUUCCUGGAAGUUGUUCCAGUCUCCAUGGAAUUCCUCCACUUUAUUAUUCCUUUGAGCACAAUAGUAUUCCAUCACCAACAUAUACCACAAUUUGCUCAGCCAUUCCCCAAUUGAUGGGCAUCCCCUCAUUUUCCAAUUUUUGGCCACCACAAAGAGCACCGCUAUGAAUCUUCUUGUACAAGUCUUUUUCCUUAUUAUCUCUUUGGGGUACAAACCCAGCAGUGCUAUAGCUGGAUCAAAGGGCAGACAGUCUUUUAUCACCCUUUGGGCAUAGUUCCAAAUUGCCCUCCAAAAUGGUUGGAUCAGUUCACAACUCCACCAGCAAUGAAUUAGUGUCCCCACUUUGCCACAUCCCCUCCAGCAUUCAUUACUUUCCAUAGCUGUCAUGUUAGCCAAUCUGCUAGGUGUGAGGUGAUACCUCAGAGUUGUUUUGAUUUGCAUCUCUCUGAUUAUAAGAGAAUUAGAACACUUCUUCAUGUGCUUAUUAAUAGUUUUGAUUCCUUUGGCUGAGAACUGCCUGUUCAUGUCGCUUGCCCAUUUGUCAAUUGGAGAAUGGCCCCUGGUGUUUAGCUCCGCCCAGAUGUUCAGCGCAACCGCCCCAAGUACAGCUCCGCUGACCCCCGUGCUCAGCGCCGAGUUCUCCUGUGAAACCACCCUGAGAUGUUUUUUCCUGGCAGUCUUCAGAUCCCAAGGACCCUGGAGUGCCCCUCCCCCCCCAGACAGAGACGUUCCUCACUCACUCUCUGUCCCAGUGAGCGCUCAGUGUGGAAAUGUUCAAACCCCACGUACCUUCGCCUCUGUGGAGUACUGGGGAGUACUAGAGUGUCCUUCUGUUCCUCCAAAGGUGAUUUUUAUGCUCCUUUGA
Molecule: long non-coding RNA, 1256 nt
Filed under: Monodelphis domestica (gray short-tailed opossum)
Lineage: Eukaryota; Metazoa; Chordata; Mammalia; Didelphimorphia; Didelphidae
Description: lncRNA (ENSMODG00000034268.2)
Source: RNAcentral